CCUACGGGCGGCUGCAGUGAGGAAUAUUGGUCAAUGGACGAGAGUCUGAACCAGCCAAGCAGCGUGAAGGAUGACUGCCCUAUGGGUUGUAAACUUCUUUUAUAUGGGAAUAAAACGUUCCACGUGUGGGCUUUUGUAUGUACCAUAUGAAUAAGGAUCGGCUAACUCCGUGCCAGCAGCCGCGGUAAUACGGAGGAUUCGAGCGUUAUCCGGAUUUAUUGGGUUUAAAGGGAGCGUAGGUGGAUUGUUAAGUCAGUUGUGAAAGUUUGCGGCUCAACCGUAAAAUUGCAGUUGAAACUGGCAGUCUUGAGUACAGUAGAGGUGGGCGGAAUUCGUGGUGUAGCGGUGAAAUGCUUAGAUAUCACGAAGAACUCCGAUUGCGAAGGCAGCUCACUGGACUGCAACUGACACUGAGGCUCGAAAGUGUGGGUAUCAAACAGGAUUAGAUACCCGGGUAGUC
This 460-nucleotide ribosomal RNA is filed under the name uncultured bacterium. RNAcentral describes it as "partial 16S ribosomal RNA". It matches the Rfam family "Bacterial small subunit ribosomal RNA", at positions 338 to 795 of the family's 1533-position model. The record is from RNAcentral.